GUCAAAUCAAAUGAUCAGUGAAAAAUGGAAUUUUGGAAUUGGUUGCGUGAAACUGUGCUUAGCAUUUAUGGGCAUUCACCAUAUGGUCGGAUUAUUACAUUAUUCACUGGUCCAGCCACUCGAAGUGUACAAGUUGGCUCACAGCGUGGCAUUAACAUUCAGAGUUCACCAAAUAUUAUGAAAACCGCUUCAAUUUGCGCUGUUAUCAGUUUUGUUGGUGGCGUUUUUUGUGGUCCAAUAGGGCUAGCUCUUGGUGGAUUGGUUGGUGGAUUAACCGCUUUCGGAAUAACUAAAUGGCACAAUAGUACGCAUUUCCUUAAUGUUAGAACGGAUGAAGAAUGAAAACAAAGUUUAUUAGUCCUAGAAACGCAUUAAACAAAGUAGUUCAAUGAAAUCACACAGUAGCCAUUCAACGCAACAGUUUCAUUUCAACUUCACUCGUACUGCAGCACUUAUGACUUUCUUGCCUACCAUGGGAGGUAUUUUUGGAGGACCGAUUGGAGUUGUUGUCGCUGGUAUUAUCAGUGCAUGGACCGCUUAUACACGUGGCGAUUGGUCAAAUAUAACAGGAAAGAGCAACUGGACAGAACUUACUUUCUAACCACCGAACUAAAACCUGAAAAUGCUGAAGAAAAAAGGAAAGGUCUAGGUUCUCACAGCAUGAUGAAAAAAACAAUGAAUGCAAGUGCUGACAAGCCACACAUUGACGCAUGUUUAAUGAACGAAACCUUUUUGUAAAAACUCAAUAUGUAAACAAUUUUGCAACGCCAAUAAAAAUUAAUUGUUGAAAGAAGCGCCAA
Sitodiplosis mosellana (orange wheat blossom midge) is the source of this 800-nucleotide RNA transcript. RefSeq lists it as uncharacterized. The transcript has 2 exons. The record is from RefSeq and is a predicted model, not a curated record. Lineage: Eukaryota; Metazoa; Arthropoda; Insecta; Diptera; Cecidomyiidae.